This 158-nucleotide ribosomal RNA is filed under the name Neonectria neomacrospora. Its description in RNAcentral is "5.8S ribosomal RNA". It matches the Rfam family "5.8S ribosomal RNA". Rfam says of the family: 5.8S ribosomal RNA (5.8S rRNA) is a component of the large subunit of the eukaryotic ribosome. RNAcentral also lists the same sequence under 3 other names. Lineage: Eukaryota; Fungi; Ascomycota; Sordariomycetes; Hypocreales; Nectriaceae. The record is from RNAcentral.
AAACUUUCAACAACGGAUCUCUUGGUUCUGGCAUCGAUGAAGAACGCAGCGAAAUGCGAUAAGUAAUGUGAAUUGCAGAAUUCAGUGAACCAUCGAAUCUUUGAACGCACAUUGCGCCCGCCAGUAUUCUGGCGGGCAUGCCUGUUCGAGCGUCAUUU